This 253-nucleotide ribosomal RNA is filed under the name uncultured bacterium. Its description in RNAcentral is "partial 16S ribosomal RNA". It matches the Rfam family "Bacterial small subunit ribosomal RNA", at positions 524 to 776 of the family's 1533-position model. The record is from RNAcentral.
UACAGGGGGCUCGAGCGUUAGUCGGAAUCACUGGGCUUAAAGGGUGCGUAGGCGGCUCGUCAAGUGCUUUGUGAAAUCCCACAGCUCAACUGUGGAACAGCAGGGCAAACUGACGAGCUUGAGGCAGGUAGGGGCCGGAAGAACAGUAGGUGGAGCGGUGAAAUGCGUAGAUAUCUACUGGAGUGCCGAUGGGGAAGCCGUCCGGCUGGGCCUGUCCUGACGCUGAGGCACGAAAGCGUGGGGAGCAAACAGG